GCGCGAGUGGCGGAACGGCAGACGCGCAGCGUUCAGGUCGCUGUAUUCGAAAGAGUGUGGGAGUUCAAAUCUCCUCUCGCGCACCA
RNAcentral lists this transfer RNA (86 nucleotides) under Actinomycetota bacterium. Its description in RNAcentral is "Actinobacteria bacterium tRNA-Leu". It matches the Rfam family "tRNA". Rfam says of the family: Transfer RNA (tRNA) molecules are approximately 80 nucleotides in length. Their secondary structure includes four short double-helical elements and three loops (D, anti-codon, and T loops). The record is from RNAcentral. Lineage: Bacteria; Bacillati; Actinomycetota. RNAcentral also lists the same sequence under 1 other name.